This is a long non-coding RNA of Megalobrama amblycephala (Wuchang bream), 816 nucleotides long. RefSeq lists it as uncharacterized. Lineage: Eukaryota; Metazoa; Chordata; Actinopteri; Cypriniformes; Xenocyprididae. The transcript is spliced from 3 exons. The record is from RefSeq and is a predicted model, not a curated record.
UCUCUGAGGUGAACAUUUCUGUUGUGUUUGUCCUAAAAAGAAGUUAUGGUGUUUACAUUUGUCAUCUGACAGAGUUCCGAUCUGGAGAUUAAAGGGAUAGUUCACCCAUAAAUCAUAAUUUACUCACCAUCAAGUAGUUCCAAACCUGUUUAAAUGUCUUUGUUCUGCUGAACACAAAGGAAGAAAUUUGGAAGAAUGUCAAUAAACAAAUAGAUCUCGCCCGCCAUUGACUACCAAAGUAGGACAAAAAAAUACUACGCUAGUCAAUGGGGGGCGAGAUCUGUCAGGCAUACUUUUUUGGGAUCUAGGCGUUUUGUUUCAUGUCGCAUAUUUAUUAAUCUUGAUUUCUCACAUCUUGUGUGCUUUUUCUGGGCAAGACCGAGUCGCUAUUCACUGCCAUUAUAUGGACGAGCGCCAUUUUUGUUUUGUUUUUAAUUCUCGUUUUGUGGUCCAUAAAAGAAAGAAGGCAUACGGCAUUAAAACAACAUCAUGAAAUCACACUCGGAGAACAGGAUCUCACCUUACUGACAGACGUUUCUUCCACCCGACACUCCUCCAUCGACUCCUCCAGAGAGUUUCCAGAGGUUUCCAUCUUCAUGCGGUGAGAGCGGAUGGAUUUCACAUCGUCCUCAUCUUCACCUGCCACUGAGGGAAACACCUGAGGAGGAAGAGCAAUCAUAACAACGAAUAAUAUCAUGCAUCUACCAUCACUUCCUCAUCACUGGGCGGUUCAGGAGCAGAAAUGGCGGCUUUACUGAUGGUCUGAGCUUCAAACUGUGGGCAGGCGGCCUGAGCAUUUCCAUCUUUAUCUCGCUU